Molecule: small nuclear RNA, 107 nt
Organism: Marmota marmota marmota (Alpine marmot)
Lineage: Eukaryota; Metazoa; Chordata; Mammalia; Rodentia; Sciuridae
Source: Ensembl
GUGCCUGCUUCUGCAGCACAUGUGCUAAAAUUGGAAUGAUACAGAGAAGAUUAGGAUGGUCCCUGUGCAAGGAUAACAUGCAAAUUUGUGAAAUGUUUCAUAUUUAA